UGCCAGACUCCUACGGGAGGCAGCAGUGGGGAAUAUUGCACAAUGGGGGAAACCCUGAUGCAGCGACGCCGCGUGAGCGAUGAAGUAUUUCGGUAUGUAAAGCUCUAUCAGCAGGGAAGAAGAUGACGGUACCUGACUAAGAAGCCCCGGCUAACUACGUGCCAGCAGCCGCGGUAAUACGUAGGGGGCAAGCGUUAUCCGGAUUUACUGGGUGUAAAGGGAGCGUAGACGGCGAUGCAAGCCAGAUGUGAAAGCCCGGGGCUCAACCCCGGGACUGCAUUUGGAACUGUGUGGCUGGAGUGUCGGAGAGGCAGGCGGAAUUCCUAGUGUAGCGGUGAAAUGCGUAGAUAUUAGGAGGAACACCAGUGGCGAAGGCGGCCUGCUGGACGAUGACUGACGUUGAGGCUCGAAAGCGUGGGGAGCAAACAGGAUUAGAUACCCUUGUAG
RNAcentral lists this ribosomal RNA (447 nucleotides) under uncultured bacterium. Its description in RNAcentral is "bacterial SSU rRNA". It matches the Rfam family "Bacterial small subunit ribosomal RNA", at positions 329 to 793 of the family's 1533-position model. The record is from RNAcentral.